UAGGGAAAUGCCGAAAACCCUUAAAAAGAGUAGGCA
Molecule: non-coding RNA, 36 nt
Organism: Pedobacter glucosidilyticus
Lineage: Bacteria; Pseudomonadati; Bacteroidota; Sphingobacteriia; Sphingobacteriales; Sphingobacteriaceae
Source: Rfam